AACGAACGCUGGCGGCGUGCCUAACACAUGCAAGUCGUGCGAGAAAGUUCCUUCGGGAGCGAGUAAAGCGGCGCACGGGUGAGUAACACGUAGGUAACCUGCCCCCCAGUCUGGAACAACUAGAGGAAACUCUAGCUAAUGCCGGAUGAGACCACGAUCCCUUCGGGGGGUUGCGGCCAAAGAUGGCCUCUACUUGUAAGCUAUCGCUGAGGGAUGGGCCUGCGGCCAUUAGCUUGUUGGUGAGGUAACGGCUCACCAAGGCUGUGAUGGCUAGCUGGUCUGAGAGGAUGACCAGCCACACUGGGACUGAGACACGGCCCAGACUCCUACGGGAGGCAGCAGUAGGGAAUAUUGCGCAAUGGGCGAAAGCCUGACGCAGCGACGCCGCGUGGGUGAUGAAGGCC
Molecule: ribosomal RNA, 404 nt
Filed under: uncultured bacterium
Lineage: Bacteria
Description: bacterial SSU rRNA
Rfam family: Bacterial small subunit ribosomal RNA
Source: RNAcentral